This 346-nucleotide unclassified non-coding RNA is filed under the name soil metagenome. Its description in RNAcentral is "partial contains 5.8S ribosomal RNA, internal transcribed spacer 2, and large subunit ribosomal RNA". The stretch from base 1 to 120 matches the Rfam family "5.8S ribosomal RNA", at positions 35 to 154 of the family's 154-position model. The record is from RNAcentral.
GAUGAAGAACGCAGCAAAAUGCGAUAAGUAAUGUGAAUUGCAGAAUUCAGUGAAUCAUCGAAUCUUUGAACGCACAUUGCGCCCGCUGGUAUUCCGGCGGGCAUGCCUGUUCGAGCGUCAUUUCAACCCUCAAGCCCCCGGGUUUGGUGUUGGGGAUCGGCUCUGCCCUUCUGGGCGGUGCCGCCCCCGAAAUACAUUGGCGGUCUCGCUGCAGCCUCCAUUGCGUAGUAGCUAACACCUCGCAACUGGAACGCGGCGCGGCCAUGCCGUAAAACCCCAACUUCUGAAUGUUGACCUCGGAUCAGGUAGGAAUACCCGCUGAACUUAAGCAUAUCAAUAAGCGGAG